Molecule: ribosomal RNA, 484 nt
Filed under: uncultured bacterium
Lineage: Bacteria
Description: partial 16S ribosomal RNA
Rfam family: Bacterial small subunit ribosomal RNA
Source: RNAcentral
AUUGAACGCUGGCGGCAGGCCUAACACAUGCAAGUCGAGCGGAUGAAGGGAGCUUGCUCCUGGAUUCAGCGGCGGACGGGUGAGUAAUGCCUAGGAAUCUGCCUGGUAGUGGGGGAUAACGUCCGGAAACGGGCGCUAAUACCGCAUACGUCCUGAGGGAGAAAGUGGGGGAUCUUCGGACCUCACGCUAUCAGAUGAGCCUAGGUCGGAUUAGCUAAUUGGUGGGGUAAAGGCCUACCAAGGCGACGAUCCGUAACUGGUCUGAGAGGAUGAUCAGUCAAACGGGAGUGAAGCACCGUCCAAGCCCCUGCGGGGAGCACGCGGGGGGGAUUGUUGGAAUAGGGGCGAAAGCUUACACCACCCAUGCCGGGGGGGAAAAGAGGGUCUCGUGUUUUUAAAGCACUUUAGGUUGGGAGGAAGGGAAAUACGUUAAUACCUUCUUUUUUUGAGGUACCACAAAGAAAAACCCCGCACAAACCCCGUC